UAUAAUAUAUCCAUAAUUUUUUUUUCCAAAAAUUGGGGUGUUACAAUCACCCCCAGUGCGGAGAAUAAAUUGGGUUUUGUUAAGUGGCAAUGAUGCAAUGACUUGAUCUUUUCAUGGAUCUAAAUUCCCUUGAACCAGCAAUUGUUGAUAGUGUCAUAUAUUCAACCACAACUUAUGAGGUAUGGCAAGAUCUUUAGGAGCGAUUCUCCCAAAGCAAUGCACCUAGAAUCUUUCAAUUGAAACAUUACAUCUCAUCCCUCAGUUAGGAUAUGAUGCAUGUUGUAACCUAUUGCACAAAAUUGAGAGGUCUUUAGGAUGGGCUGGUUUCCUAUAAUGACUUUACUUUUUGUAGUUGUGGUGCUAUGAAAAGGGACAUGGAGCGAGAAGAAAGAAAUGCAUUAAUGCAAUUUCUUAAGGGCUUGAACAAGUCUUAUGCUGCUGUAAGUGGACAAAUUUUACUUAUGUAGCUUUUACCAAAUCUCUGCGCAAAGCCUUUUCACUUAUUUCCCAAGAAGAAAAACAACUUGAAUUGAGUGUUUCAUGGGGUUCUACUGAAGUUGCAGUUAUGGCAAUUCAACAAAAUCAUAACGUGCCAAAGCAAUACAAAUCAUAGUCUGGUUAGAAAUCUCUACAUUGUAGUUAUUGUAAUUGAGAUUACCACACCUAAGAGACAUGUUACAAACUAUAUGGAUAUUUAGAGUGCAUCGACUCUACAAGACUAAUAA
This 725-nucleotide unclassified non-coding RNA is filed under the name Hevea brasiliensis (rubber tree). Lineage: Eukaryota; Viridiplantae; Streptophyta; Magnoliopsida; Malpighiales; Euphorbiaceae. The record is from RNAcentral.